UACGUAGGGUGCAAGCGUUGUCCGGAAUUAUUGGGCGUAAAGAGCUCGUAGGCGGUUUGUCGCGUCUGCUGUGAAAACUCGGGGCUUAACCCUGGGCCUGCAGUGGGUACGGGCAGACUAGAGUGCGGUAGGGGAGACUGGAAUUCCUGGUGUAGCGGUGAAAUGCGCAGAUAUCAGGAGGAACACCGGUGGCGAAGGCGGUUCUCUGGGCAUGAUCUGACGCUGAGGAGCGAAAGUGUGGGGAGCGAACAGG
RNAcentral lists this ribosomal RNA (253 nucleotides) under uncultured bacterium. RNAcentral's name for it is "partial 16S ribosomal RNA". It matches the Rfam family "Bacterial small subunit ribosomal RNA", at positions 524 to 776 of the family's 1533-position model. The record is from RNAcentral.